UCAGACACCACCGGGAACUGAGACACGGUCCAGACUCCUACGGGAGGCAGCAGUGAGGAAUAUUGCACAAUGGAGGAAACUUUGAAUGCAGCAACGCCGCGUGGAGGAUGACGCAUUUCGGUGUGUAAACUCCUUUUAUUAGGGAAGAUAAUGACGGUACCUAAUGAAUAAGCCCCGGCUAACUCCGUGCCAGCAGCCGCGGUAAUACGGAGGGUGCAAGCGUUAUUUGGAAUCACUGGGCGUAAAGGGUGCGUAGGCUGGCUUUUAAGUCAGAUGUGAAAUCCAAUGGCUCAACCAUUGAACUGCAUUUGAAACUGAAAGCCUAGAGUUCAGAAGGGGCAGAUGGAAUUAGUGGUGUAGGGGUAAA
Molecule: ribosomal RNA, 367 nt
Filed under: uncultured bacterium
Lineage: Bacteria
Description: bacterial SSU rRNA
Rfam family: Bacterial small subunit ribosomal RNA
Source: RNAcentral